GACGAACGCUGGCGGCGUGCUUAACACAUGCAAGUCGAACGGAAAGGCCCUGCUUUUGUGGGGUGCUCGAGUGGCGAACGGGUGAGUAACACGUGAGUAACCUGCCCUUGACUUUGGGAUAACUUCAGGAAACUGGGGCUAAUACCGGAUAGGAGCUCCUGCUGCAUGGUGGGGGUUGGAAAGUUUCGGCGGUUGGGGAUGGACUCGCGGCUUAUCAGCUUGUUGGUGGGGUAGUGGCUUACCAAGGCUUUGACGGGUAGCCGGCCUGAGAGGGUGACCGGCCACAAUGGGACUAAGAUACGGCGCAGACUCCUACGGGAGGCAGCAGUGGGGAAUAUUGCACAAUGGGCGGAAGCCUGAUGCAGCAACGCCGCGUGCGGGAUGACGGCCUUCGGGUUGUAAACCGCUUUCGCCUGUGACGAAGCGUGAGUGACGGUAAUGGGUAAAGAAGCACCGGCUAACUACGUG
Molecule: ribosomal RNA, 468 nt
Filed under: uncultured bacterium
Lineage: Bacteria
Description: partial 16S ribosomal RNA
Rfam family: Bacterial small subunit ribosomal RNA
Source: RNAcentral